Molecule: transfer RNA, 73 nt
Filed under: Actinoplanes sp. SE50/110
Lineage: Bacteria; Bacillati; Actinomycetota; Actinomycetes; Micromonosporales; Micromonosporaceae
Also listed under: 1 other name
Description: tRNA-Ala (TGC) (tRNA-Ala-TGC-2-1)
Rfam family: tRNA
About the family: Transfer RNA (tRNA) molecules are approximately 80 nucleotides in length.
Source: Rfam by way of RNAcentral
GGGGAAAUAGCUCAGGUGGCAGAGCACUGGUUUUGCAAUCCAGAGGUCACCGGUUCGAAUCCGGUUUUCUCCA